UUUAUAUGAGAGUUUGAUCCUGGCUCAGGAUGAACGCCGGCGGUGUGCCUAAUACAUGCAAGUCGAACGCGUUGGCCCAAUUGAUUGACGGUGCUUGCAUCUGAUUGAUUUUGGUCGCCAACGAGUGGCGGACGGGUGAGUAACACGUAGGUAACCUGCCCAGAAGCGGGGGACAACAUUUGGAAACAGAUGCUAAUACCGCAUAACAGCGUUGUUCGCAUGAACAACGCUUAAAAGAUGGCUUCUCGCUAUCACUUCUGGAUGGACCUGCGGUGCAUUAGCUUGUUGGUGGGGUAACGGCCUACCAAGGCGAUGAUGCAUAGCCGAGUUGAGAGACUGAUCGGCCACAAUGGGACUGAGACACGGCCCAUACUCCUACGGGAGGCAGCAGUAGGGAAUCUUCCACAAUGGGCGCAAGCCUGAUGGAGCAACACCGCGUGAGUGAAGAAGGGUUUCGGCUCGUAAAGCUCUGUUGUUAAAGAAGAACACGUAUGAGAGUAACUGUUCAUACGUUGACGGUAUUUAACCAGAAAGUCACGGCUAACUACGUGCCAGCAGCCGCGGUAAUACGUAGGUGGCAAGCGUUAUCCGGAUUUAUUGGGCGUAAAGAGAGUGCAGGCGGUUUUCUAAGUCUGAUGUGAAAGCCUUCGGCUUAACCGGAGAAGUGCAUCGGAAACUGGAUAACUUGAGUGCAGAAGAGGGUAGUGGAACUCCAUGUGUAGCGGUGGAAUGCGUAGAUAUAUGGAAGAACACCAGUGGCGAAGGCGGCUACCUGGUCUGCAACUGACGCUGAGACUCGAAAGCAUGGGUAGCGAACAGGAUUAGAUACCCUGGUAGUCCAUGCCGUAAACGAUGAGUGCUAGGUGUUGGAGGGUUUCCGCCCUUCAGUGCCGGAGCUAACGCAUUAAGCACUCCGCCUGGGGAGUACGACCGCAAGGUUGAAACUCAAAGGAAUUGACGGGGGCCCGCACAAGCGGUGGAGCAUGUGGUUUAAUUCGAAGCUACGCGAAGAACCUUACCAGGUCUUGACAUCUUGCGCCAACCCUAGAGAUAGGGCGUUUCCUUCGGGAACGCAAUGACAGGUGGUGCAUGGUCGUCGUCAGCUCGUGUCGUGAGAUGUUGGGUUAAGUCCCGCAACGAGCGCAACCCUUGUUACUAGUUGCCAGCAUUAAGUUGGGCACUCUAGUGAGACUGCCGGUGACAAACCGGAGGAAGGUGGGGACGACGUCAGAUCAUCAUGCCCCUUAUGACCUGGGCUACACACGUGCUACAAUGGACGGUACAACGAGUCGCGAACUCGCGAGGGCAAGCAAAUCUCUUAAAACCGUUCUCAGUUCGGACUGCAGGCUGCAACUCGCCUGCACGAAGUCGGAAUCGCUAGUAAUCGCGGAUCAGCAUGCCGCGGUGAAUACGUUCCCGGGCCUUGUACACACCGCCCGUCACACCAUGAGAGUUUGUAACACCCAAAGUCGGUGGGGUAACCUUUUAGGAGCCAGCCGCCUAAGGUGGGACAGAUGAUUAGGGUGAAGUCGUAACAAGGUAGCCGUAGGAGAACCUGCGGCUGGAUCACCUCCUUUCUA
RNAcentral lists this ribosomal RNA (1580 nucleotides) under Limosilactobacillus fermentum. RNAcentral describes it as "bacterial SSU rRNA". It matches the Rfam family "Bacterial small subunit ribosomal RNA". The record is from RNAcentral. Lineage: Bacteria; Bacillati; Bacillota; Bacilli; Lactobacillales; Lactobacillaceae.